GAUGAAGAACGUAGCGAAAUGCGAUAAGUAAUGCGAAUUGCAGAAUUCAGUGAAUCAUCGAAUCUUUGAACGCACAUUGCGCCCGCUAGUAUUCUGGCGGGCAUGCCUGUCUGAGCGUCAUUUCAACCCUCGCCCCCGGCUUUUGCUGGGAGCGGUGUUGGGGAUCGGCCGCCCGUCACUGGGAGGCCGGCCCCGAAAUAGAGUGGCGACCACGCCGUGUGCUCCUCCGCGUAGUAGUAAAUCACCUCGCAGGCGGACAGCGGUGCGGCCUGCCGUAAAACCCCCAACUCUUUCUGGUUGACCUCAGAUCAGGUAGGAAUACCCGCUGAACUUAAGCAUAUCAAUAAGCGGAGGA
This 355-nucleotide unclassified non-coding RNA is filed under the name soil metagenome. RNAcentral's name for it is "partial contains 5.8S ribosomal RNA, internal transcribed spacer 2, and large subunit ribosomal RNA". The stretch from base 1 to 120 matches the Rfam family "5.8S ribosomal RNA", at positions 35 to 154 of the family's 154-position model. The record is from RNAcentral.